CUUAGGGUCAGCAACGGCCACGCCAGGUGCCUCUCCCUCCAGGUCCGUGUGCAUCACUGCCCCAGAGUCCGCGUGGCCCAGCCGCCCGCACCCCGGCCCAGGCUGGGCGCUCGCAAUGGGUCCUGGGCUCCCGGAGUCCCGCACCCGGAGGGCAGGCAGCCGGCCAGGAGCGCCAGCUCGCCUCAGAGUUGGUGGGAGUCGCGCUUUUGCCCAGGUUGGGUUGGAGGGCUCUGCCUGAGAGGGCGCCCCCGCAGAGCCGGCCUCUUAGAGUCGCUUGCCUCGCACCUCCUUUCCUCUUUUCCUUCCAGUCUCUGCCGCUUUUCCCACCAUCAGAGAUUCAGGAAGGGCUGUGAAGCAGCUCUGCCGUGGGCGACCACGACAGACAAGGACCUGCCCCCUAGAACUCACCUUCUGCUGGGGGAGAGGCAGGACCAGGAACACCCCUAACUGCACAGCUGCAGUCUGUGAGAAGGGCAAGGAAGAAGCCAGAGCGGGGUGGGGGUACAGUGAGGGGCGGGACCACUUUAGAUAGGCCUCCGAGGAGGGGGUGUUUACGCUGACCGUGAACGAGAAGAGGGAGCCCGUCUUUGGAUGAUCUGGGAGAGAGCUUUCCAGGUGGAUGGAACAGCAAAGGCAAUGGCCGCGAGGGCACGAAGGGUUACCCAGAGCUGUCCACGCCGUUUGUCCAUUCUUCCCCUUGAGAUGAAAAGGCUUAGAUUUGCAAGACAACUGGCUUCCACAGAACCGGUUCCUUCAGGUCGCCGUCAAUGGUCACCUCAGGACUCCGGGAGCCGGGAGCCGGGCGCAGCCAGUGAGGCUGAGGUGUGCAAAGGGACAACUUUCUUUAAGUCUUUAUUUUAAAAGUUGGUAUUUUGCUCACCAUGGAUUGGUUUUGCACUAAAUUUGAUUCUUAAAAAAUAUCAUAUCAAAAUUUUAUUUAUCUUGAUUCCUGAGCUUUUUGGCGCCUCCUUAAAUUUCACCCCCAGGCGAGAGCCCCACCGGCCUCAGUCCAGCCCCAGCUCAGCUCCUGGUCCAGGGUGCUGUGGACUGGGAGUCAGGAGACCUGGCUUCUGGUCCAGCUUGUGCCACUAGACCAGCUGUGUGACUGAAUGCAUGUACCCUCGGCGCCCUGAGCCGCUCAGCUGCACCAUCUCUCCAGGGACGGGCUAUUCCUGGCUCUAGUUCUAGAAUGAUCCAAGACACUCCUUAGAACUCUGAUAGGUUGUGUAUUGUAUGCAUCUCCUGGGGGCUUUGGGCCUGUUUUAGGCCUCUGACUCUGGCCAUUAUGUCACCGGCCUUUCCCCAUCCCAUGUGAGGUGAUCCUCUGUGCAAACACCACAUCUUCGUGGCUGCUUUGUGCAAUGAGCGUUGAUGCCCUUGUCGUUUUCCCCAUCCUGGGGGGAGUUUCAGUUUUGGAGGUGUGGUCGUGCCCUUUAUUCUUGCUUCUUGCUCUUUGGUUCCAAUCACUGGAUCAUGUGACACACCUUCAUUAGGAAGCUUCCCAAAUGCCAAGUGCUGAGCAACCACUCAGGAUACAAAAGAAACCUGUCCAGCCCUGGAAGAGCUGACGUUCUAGCGAGGGAGCCAGCACAUAAGCAGACCCGUGUGCUGAGAGAAGUGUGCCCGGGGUAGAGGACGUCCAGCUCAGUGAAGGUCACCUUGAGAGGACGGUGCACUGUCCUUCCUCCUGGGGGGACCCUGCAUCCUGGGGGCUGUCUCCAAGUGCCAGCGGCCCAGAGCAGUGGGCAGUCACCUUCCUAAUGGACUCUCCGCCAUAGAGAGCUGUGGUGUGACAUUUUGCAUCCACACUUGAAUGGGCGAAGCUCUGAGUUACAGCUUUCAGUUCCUUCUAACUCCCCAUCUCCCUCCAUCCCUCCUCUGGAUUGUGGCUUGUUCCUCAGUUGUUCCUAGUUCUGACAACCCUCAAAACCUGUUUCAAAGUGCACCUCCCUCUUUCAGUUCUCCUCCGCUGCUCCAGCCCUCAGGGGACUCUUCUCUCACUUUUUUUCCAAAGCCUUUAUCAACUAAUAGACCUUCUGCCUGGAGCUUAAUUAAGAUCGGUCCAGAGUUUCUUGUUGCUUCAGCAAAGCCGGAAUGUAAUGGUUCUUGCAGGGAGAGGGCACUUGCCUGGCAGUCAGUAACAGCUGGGAGGGCUCUGCUCCUCCACUCAGAGGGUACAAACAGAUGUAUCUGGCUAGCCUUCUGUGUUUUAAAAAUAAUGAAUUAUGUGCCAAUACUUGAAAAUCAGGAGAUCUCAAAUAAAACUCUGGGUUUUCGGCUUCCCUUGAAAACUUAGAAGUUGUGCCAACCCUGAGCCUACAUUCCUCCCUGGCAAAAAUUGGCUAGAUCUGGUAGCACCUUUUUCCUUAAGUGGGGCAUGGGUCUUCCAGUUUGCCACAAUCCCCACUACUCCUUAAUGUCUAACAUUAGGCUCCCUUUACUUAUCUACUUUACCUUCCUGGCCCCUAGAGGAUUUUGAGAUUUUAAUCCCUUCUAACUUUUUUCUUUAAGAGGGUAGACAGCUCAUCAGAGCACUAUGCACUGGCUGAUGCUUAGCAUGGCCCAAAGGGAGGCUGGGCAUCACUCUGAAAAUUGUUGGGGAGGUGGGGAGGGGACACUUAGGAGGGUGCUUGCUGUGAAUCAGUCUGAAGAGUCUUAGUAUCAACGAACUCCAGUGUUGGAACUUGGCUGCUACCAUGCUGCUUUACCUGGACAUGUAGAGAUAUACUUAGUGUGAACAUAAAACAAUAAAUUUAUAAAAAUUAACUAACUUAUCAAGAGCACUUACUAUGUGCCAGAUACUGUUCUCAGAUUUUUACGUUUAAUUUCACAAUAACCCUGUGUGGUCACCACUGUUACUUCUCCCAUUUUAGAGACAAGGGACCUGAGACGCAGGUAGGUAACUUGCUCGGGAAUGCACAGCCAGAAAACAAGAGGCUGCAAUUGCACCAGACACAGAAUGCCUGGAACCUGGAUUUUACCAGGAUUGGAGGUACCGGCAGGUGAUGGGUUUUUCUAUUGUUGUCUUCUCUGCAUCAUCCAUUUCCUGGGGCUGUAAUCUGUUUCCCUCCUGCCAGGAGGCUGUGAAGUUUGAGGCUUCCUUCCCUUGGCACCGGGCUGAAGUUAGCUGGCCCCCAGCUCUGCUACUGUAGGCUCUUUGAUCUGGAGACACACUGGACUACACGGCUUCAGCAAGAGGAGGACAGGGGAGGGCUGGGGCAAGAAAGCAGGGGCUUUGCCAGCCCAGACCAGGUCCCCUCAGACAGCCCAGGGAUCCCAGAAGUGCAGGGCCCACCUGCCAGCCCCUGGGCAUGAGCUCGUAGCCCCUGUGUCCCCACGUCUGAGGUCAGCGCCCGGAUGCUGAGCUCCGAGCAUCCGUCUUGCUGCAAUGGAAGAUUUGAAUCCCCUUGUCGUCACUUUGCAUUGCUUCUGGGCUGUGUUCCCUCUUAUUUCAUUUUCGUCUGAAAUCCUGAGCUCACCCUCCUCGGCAGCUGACGGGCCCAUUUAUUUCCAAGGCUGCAGCCAGUCGGAGGGCUGCCGACAGCUCCGCGGAGCGCUCUGGGUUUGUGCCACCUCGUUUUGUUCCUGCAGACAGGGCUGGGAGACCAGAGAACAUCUUCAUUUUGCAGCAGCAAAGCUGUCAGAGCCUUCAGCCUCAGCCCUCAUCCUCUUGGGCCUGAGAUGCAUUUGGUUUGCCCUAGAGGGCACUGCCCGGGUUGACUCUGUCCCUUGGUCUUUCGUCCUUUUGGACUCAAAACCUUGAGAGCGUGCAGCCUGUGCUUUGCAAAUGUCCUGUCAAAUGCCCCUGAUUUGUCACAGUUGGAACAGCUCCUAGAGAUCGUGUUGUCAGAUCUUCUCGCAGUGUUCAGAUAAUGAAACAAAGCCCAGAGAGGGCAAGAGACUCAUGGGGAAUUGCACAGCAAGUGAGAGGCAGAACAAAACUGACAGGCUCCGGCCCCAGCCAUUUCACAUUAUUCCAGUCCACCUCUUCAGAAUCUCAGAAGGCCAGCCUCAAGGGACUCCCCUCACGAGGCAUCAUCUACCUGCAAGGCUCCUCCGCCAGCACUUCAGGGCACUGCUGCUCCUCCCCUUCCGGCCUCAGCUCAGAUGUCCCCUCCUCAGGGAGGCCCGCCCCUCCUGCCUUGUCUGAAGCACCCUCCAGUCACUCUCCAUCACAUUCUCUGACAUCCUCCAUUGUUUUGUCCUCAGAGCUCUGAUCAGUACCUGCAAAGAUCUCCUAUCAGAGUUUAAUUUGCAUUUUUGUUGUCGCUCCCACCAGAAUGCGAGCUCCAUCUCCCACCAGAAUGCGAGCUCCACCAGGCAGUGACCGCGUCUGUGUCUGUCUCACUCGCCUCAACCUCUCCAGUAACCUCGCCAGUACCGGCACACAGAGGCGCCCCGCAUGUCUGCGCAUGUGGAGUGAAGGGAUGAAGGGAUUUCAGGGACUUCCAAUGGUCCCUAAACAAGAGCACAGUUUUCAUUUCUUUCAGCACAGAUCCACUUUGCGUCUUCUGGAAUUUCACGCGAAUGGAAGCUUACGGAGCGUCCUCUUUGGCGUCUGCCUUCUUUUCCUCAGCAUCAAGCUCCACGCUCAGCAUCCGUGUUGAGUCUCCUGUCUUCUGCCGGCAUCCAUAAAACUGCGGUGGGCUCACUUGCUAGCUUGCAGAGCACUUGAGAGGACCGAUGACCUUCAGUUGAGGGACCCAGGCAGCCUGCGGCAAUGGUGCUCUCCUCCGUCCAUCUUGCUGAGGCUCCCAAUUGGCCUUGCCCAAUCAGAAGAUGGAGGCGUGUGUGUGGUGGCGAGAAGGCGGAGAAUGACAAGGCCUGAACUUGAACUUCAGCUCCCGCACUUACCAGCCACCACCACUCCGUCAGACACCCGGUGUCUCACUGGGCCCCUCGCCGGUGCUGAGUAAGCAUUAAUUUCACCACGCCAGAAAGUUGAAUCUGAGAGCACAUCCUUUCAAUAGAGGUAACAGCAAGAGCAGGCUUGUGAGUAGGAGAGAUCGGUGAAGACUGAAACGCUCGGGUCGCUGCACAUGCCUGGGGCCGGGGAGCUGAGCAGCAGCCGAAGGCAGGGACACACACUCGCUCCUGCGUCUCAGUUGUGGUAGCUGCAGCCUCAGCUGGGACGCAUCUGGCUGCAAAUCAACAGGCAAUUCCCGUGCCCACUGCCUUUUAUCCCCAUGGCUGUUCUACCUCCAGCUCUGUGUUCGGGAAUGGAGCCAGAGCCGUCGGAAGGGAUGGGCAGGGUGCCACAGCCGGAAGAUGGCGGGUUUUGAGUGUGUGGCGCAGGGUCCAAAUGCCGGCUCCGUCACUCUGCGCUCUGAGAGGACAUGGGUGAGUCAUUUAAGCUGCUCUGGGUCUCAGAUGCUUCACGGAAAACCAGGAUCAUUGUACCUUCAGCAUCGUUUUUUAUAAAAACGAAGGUGUGAAAUUGUAUGGGUGAGGUACAUGGUAUCUGGCAGCUGUGGUUAUGCCAAGGAGGGUCAUUGAUUGCUGCAUACGCAGCAUACACUAGGCCUGGCGCUUUGAGUUUUCACGUGUGAUCACGUGUAUCCCUCACAGCAAGCCUGUGAGGGAUUUCCACUCUCCUUCUUCUUACUCGAGUGAGGAAAUUGAGGGGCAGAGCCCAGGCCAUGGCCCAAGGUCUCAGAGCUCCUGCGUGGCCCAGGAGGGAGACGAACCCAGGCCAAUUGCCACCCGAGCAAGGUGCUUCCCUGCCUUGCUGUCGGCAGACUCUGCGGACCACACCCGGGGCCUCCCCCAGAGGCCGGUGACCCAGACCUAGCUGCUCAAAGGACUGUGCCCCUUGUGUUGGGCGGUCUGCUGGACCGACUGUGUAGUUUGCAGGGUCCAGUGCACAGGGAAAAUGCAGGGCCCUUGUUCAGAAGACAUUAAGAAUUUCUGGAUGGUGACAGCAGAGCAUUCAACCAAGCACAGAGCCCUUCUGAACAGGGGCCCACAGGUCGUAGGCCCAGGCAGCCGGCCCCAGUGGUCUUCACUGGGCUGUGCCUCCCAGGAGACUGGGGGCACGCUGUGGGCUCCCUCUGAAUGUUUUGUCAGCCUCCUAACUUCUCUGAAGACCCAAAGGAAACCCUGAGAUAUGCUAAGCAGGCCCAACACAAACCCUGAAAAUCUUCCUGGCUGCACUUAGCUCCAGCAAGAAUAUGACUGGAUCCACAUGAAAUGGUUACUUGUGACUCAGGCUGGCCAAGAGCCCUCACCUGCCCAACAGAUGAGUGGUGUAGGUCUGAGCCCGGGAACUGAACCUGGGCUGCCAAAGUGGAGGGUGCUGAACUUAACCACCAGGCCCCUGGGGCUGGCCUUGAAAAACUCUUAAUGCUGCAGUUUCCUGCAAAAUUCAGCACAAGAUUCCAACACUUCUCAAAUCGUUGAGCACAAGGAAGAAUACCCUUCUCAUCCCCCACCCAACACACACAUACAGCAUCAAUUAAUUACAUUAUUAUAAAUAAAAUGCUGUGGUGUAACAUUCCCGGCCCAGACUUGUCCUCACACAGGCCUCUGUCUGGCCACGCUGCUCGUGGCCAGCUUCAUAAUUUGGGUUCCAGACACGGGUCCAUACAUCCAAGCGAGGGGAACUGCUCUGGCCCACCUCACAGGCAGGCAGGACCACCACGCACCGACGUGACCCGCCUUACAAACAGGAGACCUGAGACGGGUGGUCAGAGAGCUGUAAGCAGCCUGGCUGGGGAGCGUCGAGUCACUCGAGUGGGCUGUUGGGGAGCCCCCAGCUGGCCCACUGAACUCGACAUUGUCUCACGUCCACCUCCCCAGGAGUCUCUUUGCAGCAGGUAUAAAUCUUAGUCCAUAAAAUUGGGCGUGCCAAAAAAAAGAAGUAGCACAUUUCUCUAUUUUCUUUCACUUCAAGUGGUGGCAGAUUCAGUCUCAGUCGUGGAUGGGGUUUUCUUUUCCCCCCACAACAGCCAGGCAUGUGCCAAGGUCCUGAGAGUGCCAGGCAGCGGGAAGGCCCUGGCUUCUGUCCCCGGUUGGGGGCACAGGCAUCUCCAUCGUGGCUGGGCAUCCCCUGCAUCGCCCGAGGACGGUCGUCCUCCCCUGGGGGCGAUUUUGCCCCCGCCCCCCAGGGGCAUUUGUCUGGGGACUUUUUUGGCUCCCACAACUGGCACCUCGUGGGGAGGGCCACUCAUGCAGCUAAAGUCCCUUCAACGCAUGGGACAGCCCCCUGCAGGAUAAAGAAUUAUUCUGUCCCGAUGUCGAUAGUGCUGAGGCUGGGAAACCCUGCCCUCAGAGGUUCUCAAGCCCCUAUUUCCCCAGCCUUCUGACUUCUGGCCACUUUAUAAUCUGGCAACUUCUUUUCCUUUCUCUUCAUGUUGUUCUGAAUGUAACUUCCCUCUCUAUUCUUGUUCUCUGCUAAACUACCUCACCAGUCAAAGAGCCCAGUUGUUCAUCCGCCACAGAGAUGACCCGUAACUGGUCGAAGCCAUCAUUUCCACACCCUAGUAUUAGAGACUGGCUUUUCCAGCCUCUCUUCCAGCUAGGGCUUGCCAUGUGACAUAGUUCUGGCCAAUGAAAUGUAAGGAGACAUGUGCUGGGGGCCUCUGGAAAAGAGAUUGCUCCUUGUGUGAGGUGUUCUGGAGAGGAGAGCUGUCUGGUGUCAGCCACCAUGAUUUUCCUGCCUGGAACAACCACGUGAGGAUGUAAGGUGUAGGGCUGUGGCAGCCGUCUUGCAACCAUGAGGUAAGUCAGGAGAAUUGCAGACAUGAGCCACCAAAUGGACCCUGGAAUCAUCCACUUCCAGGUCUCUUGUUAAAUAAGCUACAAAUGUCCUUAGAGUUUAGACCAUACUUGAUACACUUGGGCAAACCUCUUAACCUCUCUCUAUCUUACUCUUGUGUAAGAAGGGAAGAAUAAAUGCUUCCUGCAUAAAGUUGUUAUGGAGAUUUAAUGAGAUGACGUAUGUAAAGCAUUUGACUAAGUGCCUGGAAUAUAAUAACUAUUCAAUGUAUUGCAAAUGUCUUUGUUACUGUCCCUAUGAACCGAAUUAAUUGGGGAUGAUAUUACGGGUCUUCCGGUAAAUUUCUUCUACUGAUUGAUUGUUCACUCAAUUAUCCAACAAACAGGUAUUAGCGCCUGCCAUGCUAAGAUACUGGAAAUGAUAGGAAGUUAUUUAAGAGAAUACAAUUAGGGGGAAAUGAUACCUGAGAGGUUGUAUAUUAGAUCCCAGCAAAAUUCUCUUUUAUUCAAGAGCUGGAUUUUGUAAACUUUAGUUUCUGUAUUCUGUCAUUGUAUGUGUCAUAUCCAUGUACCAUGUCCUUGCCCUGGUACAAUAGCUGUACUGUUAUUGACUUAAAAUUUUUCUUUAAACCAACUUACUCUUUUGGGUUAAAUAGAUUUAUUUUUAAAAGAAACUUUAUAUCACUAUGGUAAAUGAACAACCAACAUCACUAGCCAUAAACAAAAAAUAGCCAAAAUAUAAA
This 8459-nucleotide long non-coding RNA is filed under the name Equus caballus (horse). RNAcentral's name for it is "lncRNA (ENSECAG00000053286.1)". Lineage: Eukaryota; Metazoa; Chordata; Mammalia; Perissodactyla; Equidae. The record is from RNAcentral.